This 496-nucleotide ribosomal RNA is filed under the name uncultured bacterium. RNAcentral's name for it is "partial 16S ribosomal RNA". It matches the Rfam family "Bacterial small subunit ribosomal RNA", at positions 28 to 506 of the family's 1533-position model. The record is from RNAcentral.
GAUGAACGCUGGCGGCGUGCCUAAUACAUGCAAGUCGAGCGAACAGACGAGGAGCUUGCUCCUCUGACGUUAGCGGCGGACGGGUGAGUAACACGUGGAUAACCUACCUAUAAGACUGGGAUAACUUCGGGAAACCGGAGCUAAUACCGGAUAACAUGUUGAACCGCAUGGUUCAACAGUGAAAGACGGUCUUGCUGUCACUUAUAGAUGGAUCCGCGCCGCAUUAGCUAGUUGGUAAGGUAACGGCUUACCAAGGCAACGAUGCGUAGCCGACCUGAGAGGGUGAUCGGCCACACUGGAACUGAGACACGGUCCAGACUCCUACGGGAGGCAGCAGUAGGGAAUCUUCCGCAAUGGGCGAAAGCCUGACGGAGCAACGCCGCGUGAGUGAUGAAGGUCUUCGGAUCGUAAAACUCUGUUAUUAGGGAAGAACAAAUGUGUAAGUAACUAUGCACGUCUUGACGGGACCUAAUCAGAAAGCCACGGCUAACUACGU